UUGACCUCAAAUCAGGUAGGAAUACCCGCUGAACUUAAGCAUAUCAAUA
Molecule: ribosomal RNA, 49 nt
Filed under: Maudiozyma barnettii
Lineage: Eukaryota; Fungi; Ascomycota; Saccharomycetes; Saccharomycetales; Saccharomycetaceae
Description: Kazachstania barnettii partial 28S rRNA
Source: RNAcentral